RNAcentral lists this unclassified non-coding RNA (449 nucleotides) under Hevea brasiliensis (rubber tree). The record is from RNAcentral. Lineage: Eukaryota; Viridiplantae; Streptophyta; Magnoliopsida; Malpighiales; Euphorbiaceae.
AAUUUAAUUCAUAAUUUGUGCAGGUUUAACUCUUUUUUUAACAAAAAAAUUAAUUUAUUUUAAUUUUGUUGUGCCUAAUGAAGUGAAAAAAGUAAAAUAAGAAUUAAAAAUAAUAAAAUUUGUGAAUCAAGACCAAUAACUCUUGAAAGAAGCAAUAUGAAUAAUAAAGCAAAUUAAAAGAGGAAGAGCAAUUAGAUAAUGAGAGAAUGCUUGGUGAGAAGAAAAAUAUUUGGCGUGUAUCAAAUGACAGAAAAAUAUUAACUAGAGAGAUAGAGAAAAUUCAAAUUAGAUUUAAUUAAGCCAUUAAAUCAUUGUUAAUUAAAAAAAAACAUUAUUCUCUAAUUGAAAAAAAAUUUCAAUGUUGCUAUUUAAAAUAUUAAAAUUUUAAAAUGCUACCUAUAAACUUUAGCCAAAUAAGUUGGCAGUUCUCUCAAAUCAGUGGCUUUAAU